RNAcentral lists this ribosomal RNA (498 nucleotides) under uncultured bacterium. RNAcentral's name for it is "partial 16S ribosomal RNA". It matches the Rfam family "Bacterial small subunit ribosomal RNA", at positions 28 to 523 of the family's 1533-position model. The record is from RNAcentral.
GAUGAACGCUAGCGGCAGGCCUAAUACAUGCAAAUCGAAGGAGAAUGUUGGAUUCGUCUGACAUGAAACCGGCGCACGGGUGCGUAACACGUAUGCAACCUACCUUUAACUGGGGUAUAGCUCAGAGAAAUCUGAAUUAAUCCCCCAUAAGACUACGACAUGGCAUCAUGAUGUAGUUAAAGCUCCGGCGGUUAAGGAUGGGCAUGCGGUACAUUAGCUAGUUGGUGAGGUAAUGGCUCACCAAGGCUACGAUGUAUAGGGGGUCUGAGAGGAUGAUCCCCCACACUGGUACUGAGACACGGACCAGACUCCUACGGGAGGCAGCAGUAGGGAAUAUUGGUCAAUGGACGCAAGUCUGAACCAGCCAUGCCGCGUGAAGGAUGAAGGCCCUAUGGGUCGUAAACUUCUUUUAUUAGGGAAGAAAAAACGGGAUGCGUCCUGUACUGACGGUACUUAAUGAAUAAGGAUCGGCUAACUUCGUGCCAGCCGCCGCUGUAA